This 484-nucleotide ribosomal RNA is filed under the name uncultured bacterium. RNAcentral's name for it is "partial 16S ribosomal RNA". It matches the Rfam family "Bacterial small subunit ribosomal RNA", at positions 29 to 507 of the family's 1533-position model. The record is from RNAcentral.
AUUGAACGCUGGCGGCAUGCUUUACACAUGCAAGUCGAACGGCAGCGCGGGCUUCGGCCUGGCGGCGAGUGGCGAACGGGUGAGUAAUACAUCGGAACGUGCCCAGUAGUGGGGGAUAGCUCGGCGAAAGCCGGAUUAAUACCGCAUACGACCUGAGGGUGAAAGCGGGGGAUCUUCGGACCGCGCGCGAUGGGGGCGGCCGAUGGCCGAUUAGCUAGUUGGUGGGGUAAAGGCCUACCAAGGCGACGAUCGGUAGCUGGUCUGAGAGGACGACCAGCCACACUGGGACUUAGACACGGCCCAGACUCCUACGGGAGGCAGCAGUGGGGAAUUUUGGACAAUGGGCGAAAGCCUGAUCCAGCAAUGCCGCGUGUGUGAUGAAGGCCUUCGGGUUGUAAAGCACUUUUGGCGGGAACGAAAAGGACUGUGCCAAUACCACGGUUCGAUGACGGUACCCGCAGAAUAAGCACCGGCUAACUACGUG